This 497-nucleotide ribosomal RNA is filed under the name uncultured bacterium. Its description in RNAcentral is "partial 16S ribosomal RNA". It matches the Rfam family "Bacterial small subunit ribosomal RNA", at positions 28 to 507 of the family's 1533-position model. The record is from RNAcentral.
GACGAACGCUGGCGGCGUGCCUAAUACAUGCAAGUAGAACGCUGAAGAGAGGAGCUUGCUCUUCUUGGAUGAGUUGCGAACGGGUGAGUAACGCGUAGGUAACCUGCCUUGUAGCGGGGGAUAACUAUUGGAAACGAUAGCUAAUACCGCAUAACAAUGGAUGACACAUGUCAUUUAUUUGAAAGGGGCAAUUGCUCCACUACAAGAUGGACCUGCGUUGUAUUAGCUAGUAGGUGAGGUAAUGGCUCACCUAGGCGACGAUACAUAGCCGACCUGAGAGGGUGAUCGGCCACACUGGGACUGAGACACGGCCCAGACUCCUACGGGAGGCAGCAGUAGGGAAUCUUCGGCAAUGGGGGCAACCCUGACCGAGCAACGCCGCGUGAGUGAAGAAGGGUUUCGGAUCGGAAAGCUCUGUUGUAAGUCAAGAACGGGUGUGAGAGUGGAAAGUUCACACUGUGACGGUAGCUUACCAGAAAGAGACGGCUAACUACGUG